This 503-nucleotide ribosomal RNA is filed under the name uncultured bacterium. RNAcentral's name for it is "partial 16S ribosomal RNA". It matches the Rfam family "Bacterial small subunit ribosomal RNA", at positions 30 to 523 of the family's 1533-position model. The record is from RNAcentral.
AUUGAACGCUGGCGGCAGGCUUAACACAUGCAAGUCGAGCGGGGUGAUGGUGCUUGCACUAUCACUUAGCGUCGGACGGGUGAGUAAUGCUUAGGAAUCUGCCUAUUAGUGGGGGACAACAUCUCGAAAGGGAUGCUAAUACCGCAUACGUCCUACGGGAGAAAGCAGGGGAUCACUUGUGACCUUGCGCUAAUAGAUGAGCCUAAGUCGGAUUAGCUAGUUGGUGGGGUAAAGGCCUACCAAGGCGACGAUCUGUAGCGGGUCUGAGAGGAUGAUCCGCCACACUGGGACUGAGACACGGGCCAGACUCCUACGGGAGGCAGCAGUGGGGAAUAUUGGACAAUGGGGGGAACCCUGAUCCAGCCAUGCCGCGUGUGUGAAGAAGGCCUUAUGGUUGUAAAGCACUUUAAGCGAGGAGGAGGCUCUUUUGGUUAAUACCCAAGAUGAGUGGACGUUACUCGCAGAAUAAGCACCGGCUAACUCUGUGCCAGCAGCCGCGGUAA